Molecule: ribosomal RNA, 468 nt
Filed under: uncultured bacterium
Lineage: Bacteria
Description: partial 16S ribosomal RNA
Rfam family: Bacterial small subunit ribosomal RNA
Source: RNAcentral
GACGAACGCUGGCGGCGUGCUUAACACAUGCAAGUCGAACGGAAAGGCCCUGCUUUUGUGGGGUGCUCGAGUGGCGAACGUGUGAGUAACAAGUGAGUAACCUGCCCUUGACUUUGGGAUAACUUCAGGAAACUGGGGCUAAUACCGGAUAGGAGCUCCUGCUGCAUGGUGGGGGUUGGAAAGUUUCGGCGGUUGGGGAUGGACUCGCGGCUUAUCAGCUUGUUGGUGGGGUAGUGGCUUACCAAGGCUUUGACGGGUAGCCGGCCUGGGAGGGUGACCGGCCACAUUGGGACUGAGAUACGGCCCAGACUCCUACGGGAGGCAGCAGUGGGGAAUAUUGCACAAUGGGCGGAAGCCUGAUGCAGCAACGCCGCGUGCGGGAUGACGGCCUUCGGGUUGUAAACCGCUUUCGCCUGUGACGAAGCGUGAGUGACGGUAAUGGGUAAAGAAGCACCGGCUAACUACGUG